Molecule: ribosomal RNA, 253 nt
Filed under: uncultured bacterium
Lineage: Bacteria
Description: partial 16S ribosomal RNA
Rfam family: Bacterial small subunit ribosomal RNA
Source: RNAcentral
UACGAAGGGGGCUAGCGUUGCUCGGAAUCACUGGGCGUAAAGGGUGCGUAGGCGGGGCUUUAAGUCAGGGGUGAAAUCCUGGAGCUCAACUCCAGAACUGCCUUUGAUACUGAGGAUCUUGAGUACGGGAGAGGUGAGUGGAACUGCGAGUGUAGAGGUGAAAUUCGUAGAUAUUCGGCGGAACACCAGUGGCGAAGGCGACUCACUGGCCCGAUACUGACGCUGAGGCGCGAAAGCGUGGGGAGCAAACAGG